AUUAUAGUGUGAUGUAUACUUUAGAGAGUGACCUACAUAACAUUCAUAAUAGAAUCGUAAGCAUUGAAAGUUGUAACUUGGAAAAAAAAGUGUAACACGAAAAAUAUUCUAACGAAAUUACGGUUAUGACUCAUUUUAUAUAUGAUUUGCAUUUGGUGUGAAUGGUCACAACGUUCCUGCUUUUGAAAGGAAAUGUGAUAGUUCAUUCGUUGUUACGAUUGUAUGCAAGCUAAAGACUGACUAGAAUGACGGGCGUACACAAUUUGCUGAUGUUUUUUUUUACGAUGCUUUUAUUUUUAGCUCUGCAUAUUUGCAAACAUAAAUAAAUAGAAACAAGUCCUUCGAAAAUUUAACUCCAUAUUAUGAGUAAUGCGUUACUCCUUGUUUAUUGUUUAAUUUGUGUGAAUGUAUUACAAAUAGAAGGUCGUCUCAUGGGACUAGAAUUAAUAGAAUUAAUUAUCCUAAUAAUUCAGUACAUGUUGAGAGUAAAUUUUAAUUAAAACUUGGAUUUAUGAUGUACAAUUUAUAAUUAAAAUUCUGGUUCGUACGAAAAAAAAGUUGUAGAACUUAGUUGUAGAAAUAAAGAAAAAGAAAACAGAAGAAAAA
Molecule: long non-coding RNA, 606 nt
Organism: Bradysia coprophila
Lineage: Eukaryota; Metazoa; Arthropoda; Insecta; Diptera; Sciaridae
Source: RefSeq, a predicted model, not a curated record